UUAGCUGCAGAAGAAGCACCGGCUAACUCCGUGCCAGCUAGCCGCGGUAAUACGGAGGGUGCGAGCGUUAAUCGGAAUUACUGGGCGUAAAGCGCAUGCAGGUGGUUUGUUAAGUCAGAUGUGAAAGCCCGGGGCUCAACCUCGGAAUUGCAUUUGAAACUGGCAAACUAGAGUACUGUAGAGGGGGUAGAAUUUCAGGUGUAGCGGUGAAAUGCGUAGUAGAUCUAGAAGGUAAUACCCGGUGGCGAAGGCGGCCCCCCUGGACAGGAUACUGACACUCAGAUCGCGAAAGCGUGGGGAGCAAACAGGAUUAGAUACCCUCGGUAG
Molecule: ribosomal RNA, 327 nt
Filed under: uncultured bacterium
Lineage: Bacteria
Description: bacterial SSU rRNA
Rfam family: Bacterial small subunit ribosomal RNA
Source: RNAcentral